CGGGGUGAGUAAUGUCUAGGGAAACUGCCUGAUGGAGGGGGAUAACUGCUGGAAACGGUAGCUAAUACCGCAUAACGUCGCAAGACCAAAGAGGGGGACCUUCGGGCCUCUUGCCAUCGGAUGUGCCCAGAUGGGAUUAGCUAGUAGGUGGGGUAACGGCUCACCUAGGCGACGAUCCCUAGCUGGUCUGAGAGGAUGACCAGCCACACUGGAACUGAGACACGGUCCAG
This 230-nucleotide ribosomal RNA is filed under the name uncultured bacterium. Its description in RNAcentral is "partial 16S ribosomal RNA". It matches the Rfam family "Bacterial small subunit ribosomal RNA", at positions 104 to 334 of the family's 1533-position model. The record is from RNAcentral.